Molecule: ribosomal RNA, 490 nt
Filed under: uncultured bacterium
Lineage: Bacteria
Description: partial 16S ribosomal RNA
Rfam family: Bacterial small subunit ribosomal RNA
Source: RNAcentral
AUUGAACGCUGGCGGCAGGCCUAACACAUGCAAGUCGAACGGUAACAGGAAGAAGCUUGCUUCUUUGCUGACGAGUGGCGGACGGGUGAGUAAUGUCUGGGAAACUGCCUGGUGGAGGGGGAUAACUACUGGAAACGGUAGCUAAUACCGCAUAACGUCGCAAGACCAAAGAGGGGGACCUUCGGGCCUCUUGCCAUCGGAUGUGCCCAGAUGGGAUUAGCUAGUAGGUGGGGUAACGGCUCACCUAGGCGACGAUCCCUAGCUGGUCUGAGAGGAUGACCAGCCACACUGGAACUGAGACACGGUCCAGACUCCUACGGGAGGCAGCAGUGGGGAAUAUUGCACAAUGGGCGCAAGCCUGAUGCAGCCAUGCCGCGUGUAUGAAGAAGGCCUUCGGGUUGUAAAGUACUUUCAGCGGGGAGGAAGGGAGUAAAGUUAAUACCUUUACUCAUUGACGUUACCCGCAGAAGAAGCACCGGCUAACUCCGUG